GAUGAACGCUGGCGGCGUGCCUAAUACAUGCAAGUCGAGCGAACAGACGAGGAGCUUGCUCCUCUGACGUUAGCGGCGGACGGGUGAGUAACACGUGGAUAACCUACCUAUAAGACUGGGAUAACUUCGGGAAACCGGAGCUAAUACCGGAUAAUAUAUUGAACCGCAUGGUUCAAUAGUGAAAGACGGUUUUGCUGUCACUUAUAGAUGGAUCCGCGCCGCAUUAGCUAGUUGGUAAGGUAACGGCUUACCAAGGCGACGAUGCGUAGCCGACCGGAGAGGGUGAUAGGCCACACUGGAGCUGAGACAGGGUCCAGACUCCUACGGGAGGCAGCAGUAGGGAAUCUGCCGCAAUGGGCGAAAGCCUGACGGAGCAACGCCGCGUGAGUGAUGAAGGUCUUCGGAUCGUAAAACUCUGUUAUUAGGGAAGAACAAAUGUGGAAGGAAAUAUGCACGUCUUGACGGUACCUAAUCAGAAAGCAACGGCUAACUACGUG
Molecule: ribosomal RNA, 497 nt
Filed under: uncultured bacterium
Lineage: Bacteria
Description: partial 16S ribosomal RNA
Rfam family: Bacterial small subunit ribosomal RNA
Source: RNAcentral